Erinaceus europaeus (western European hedgehog) is the source of this 459-nucleotide non-coding RNA. Lineage: Eukaryota; Metazoa; Chordata; Mammalia; Eulipotyphla; Erinaceidae. The record is from the annotation of a RefSeq genome assembly.
AUGACCUGGACUUACCUUGUGCUGAUUCUCCUCUCUCACUGCACAGGUUCCCUGUCUCAGCCUGCACUGACUCAGCCUCCCUCCCUCUCAGCAUCUCCUGGAUCAACAGCCAGACUCACCUGCACCCUGAGUGGUGGCUUCAAGCUUGGUGAAUAUGCAAUCCGUUGGUAUCAGCAGAACCUAGGCAGCCCUCCCUGGUAUCUCCUGUACUACUACACAGACUCCAUCAAGCACCAGGGAUCUGGGGUCUCCAGCCGCUUCACUGGAUCCAAAGAUGCCUCUACAAAUGCAGGAGUUCUGCACAUCUCUCAGUUGCAGGCUGAGGAUGAAGCUGACUACUAUUGUCAGAUCUGGGAUGGUGGUACUAGCAGUCACCCAGUGCUCCAAGCCUAUGAGACAAAAAAAUGUCUCCUGAGUUUUCUCUGCAUUAUUCAGUCACUCUCAUCUAGUAGGGAGUAA